Molecule: ribosomal RNA, 1388 nt
Filed under: Bacteroides sp.
Lineage: Bacteria; Pseudomonadati; Bacteroidota; Bacteroidia; Bacteroidales; Bacteroidaceae
Description: bacterial SSU rRNA
Rfam family: Bacterial small subunit ribosomal RNA
Source: RNAcentral
UGCAAGUCGAGGGGCAGCAUGGUCUUAGCUUGCUAAGGCCGAUGGCGACCGGCGCACGGGUGAGUAACGCGUAUCCAACCUGCCUUACACUCUUGGACAGCCUUCUGAAAGGGAGAUUAAUACAAGAUGUUAUCAUGAGUAAGCAUUUUCGCAUGAUUAAAGGUUUACCGGUGUAAGAUGGGGAUGCGUUCCAUUAGAUAGUAGGCGGGGUAACGGCCCACCUAGUCUUCGAUGGAUAGGGGUUCUGAGAGGAAGGUCCCCCACAUUGGAACUGAGACACGGUCCAAACUCCUACGGGAGGCAGCAGUGAGGAAUAUUGGUCAAUGGACGAGAGUCUGAACCAGCCAAGUAGCGUGAAGGAUGAAGGUUCUAUGGAUUGUAAACUUCUUUUAUACGGGAAUAAACGAAUCCACGUGUGGAUUUUUGCAUGUACCGUAUGAAUAAGGAUCGGCUAACUCCGUGCCAGCAGCCGCGGUAAUACGGAGGAUCCGAGCGUUAUCCGGAUUUAUUGGGUUUAAAGGGAGCGUAGAUGGGUUGUUAAGUCAGUUGUGAAAGUUUGCGGCUCAACCGUAAAAUUGCAAUUGAUACUGGCAGUCUUGAGUACAGUUGAGGUAGGCGGAAUUCGUGGUGUAGCGGUGAAAUGCUUAGAUAUCACGAAGAACUCCGAUUGCGAAGGCAGCUUACUAACCUGUAACUGACAUUGAUGCUCGAAAGUGUGGGUAUCAAACAGGAUUAGAUACCCUGGUAGUCCACACGGUAAACGAUGAAUACUCGCUGUAGGCGAUAUACAGUCUGCGGCCAAGCGAAAGCAUUAAGUAUUCCACCUGGGGAGUACGCCGGCAACGGUGAAACUCAAAGGAAUUGACGGGGGCCCGCACAAGCGGAGGAACAUGUGGUUUAAUUCGAUGAUACGCGAGGAACCUUACCCGGGCUUAAAUUGCAACCGAAUAUGGCGGAAACGCUAUAGCUAGCAAUAGCGGUUGUGAAGGUGCUGCAUGGUUGUCGUCAGCUCGUGCCGUGAGGUGUCGGCUUAAGUGCCAUAACGAGCGCAACCCUUGCCGAUAGUUACUAACAGGUCAUGCUGAGGACUCUGUCGGGACUGCCAUCGUAAGAUGUGAGGAAGGUGGGGAUGACGUCAAAUCAGCACGGCCCUUACGUCCGGGGCUACACACGUGUUACAAUGGGGGGUACAGAGGGCUGCUACCACGCAAGUGGAUGCCAAUCCCAAAAACCUCUCUCAGUUCGGAUUGAAGUCUGCAACCCGACUUCAUGAAGCUGGAUUCGCUAGUAAUCGCGCAUCAGCCACGGCGCGGUGAAUACGUUCCCGGGCCUUGUACACACCGCCCGUCAAGCCAUGGGAGCCGGGGGUACCUGAAGUGCGUAACCGC